RNAcentral lists this small RNA (1133 nucleotides) under Arabidopsis thaliana (thale cress). Lineage: Eukaryota; Viridiplantae; Streptophyta; Magnoliopsida; Brassicales; Brassicaceae. The record is from RNAcentral.
AAAGAUAGAUACGAUUGCAUUGCAUGUAGUAAACGGAUGCGAUCAUACCAGCACUAAUGCACCGGAUCCCAUCAAAACUACGCAGUUAAGCGUGCUUGGGCGAGAGUAGUACUAGGCUGGGUGACCUCCCGGAUAGUCCUCGUGUUGCAUCCCUCUUUUCUUUUUCGGUUUUUCUCUAUUUUGUUUUGUUAAAAUUGUAUGACUCUAUAACUUUUAGACCGUGAGGCCAAACUUUGCAUGUGAUACCUUUUCGGAAAGCCCAAAGAGAGCUCUCCGAUGAAUGAGGAAGGAAAAUGGAAUUCUUCUAUUGUUUGUUUUUUCUAUUCCAAAUUUUGACCUUAAUGUACUUUUUCGGGCUUUUUCGUGAUCUUUGCCAUAUUACGGGGCGAAAUUAUAUGUUCGGACAUUGGUUUUGAAUAUUUUGUAUGUAUCAAAGCUCUUAUAAACAAGAUAUGGUAUUCCUACAUGGCUGGCGUGACCCACAGCAAAUGGAUCAUAAAGUCUUCAAAAAAAGAAUAUAUACGAUUGCAUUGCAUGUAGUAACGGAUGCGAUCACACCAGCACUAAUGCACCAGAUCCAAUUAAAACUCCGCAGUUGAGCAUACUUGGGCGAGAGUAGUACUAGGAUGGGUGACCUCCCGGAAAGUCCUCGUGUUGCAUCCCUCUUUUCUUUUUUUUGUUAAAAAUGUACGACUUUAUAACUUUUAGACCAUGAGGCCAAACUUGGAAUGUGAUACCUUUUCGGAAAGCCCAAAGAGAGCUCUCCUAUGAAUGAGGAAAGAAAAUGGAAUUCUUCUAUUGGUUUUUUAUUCUACUCCAAAUUUUGACCUUAAUGUACUUUUUUGGUCUUUUUCGUGAUCUUUGCUAUAUGACAGGGCGAAAAUUAUAUGAUCGGACAUUGUUUUCGAAUAUGUUGCAUGUAUCAAAGCUCUUAUAAACAAGAUAGGGUAUUCCUACAUAGCUGGUGGGAGCCACGGCAAAUGGAUCUUAAAGUCUUCCAAAAAAGAAUAGAUACGAUUGCAUUGCAUGUAGUUAACGGAUGCGAUCAUACCAGCACUAAUGCAACGGAUCCCAUCAAAACUCCGCAGUUAAGCGUACUUGGGCAAGAGUAGUACUAGGAUGGGGGACCUACC